UACGGGGGGGGCUAGCGUUGCUCGGAAUCACUGGGCGUAAAGGGCGCGUAGGCGGCCUGGCAAGUGGAAGGUGAAAUCCCUCGGCUUAACCGAGGAACUGCCUCCCAAACUGCUUGGCUUGAGACCAGGAGAGGUGAGUGGAAUUCCCAGUGUAGCGGUGAAAUGCGUAGAUAUUGGGAGGAACACCAGUGGCGAAGGCGGCUCACUGGACUGGUACUGACGCUGAGGCGCGAAAGCGUGGGGAGCAAACGGG
RNAcentral lists this ribosomal RNA (253 nucleotides) under uncultured bacterium. RNAcentral's name for it is "partial 16S ribosomal RNA". It matches the Rfam family "Bacterial small subunit ribosomal RNA", at positions 524 to 776 of the family's 1533-position model. The record is from RNAcentral.